GACGAACGCUGGCGGCGUGCUUAACACAUGCAAGUCGAACGGAAAGGCCCUGCUUUUGUGGGGUGCUCGAGUGGCGAACGGGUGAGUAACACGUGAGUAACCUGCCCUUGACUUUGGGAUAACUUCAGGAAACUGGGGCUAAUACCGGAUAGGAGCUCCUGCUGCAUGGUGGGGGUUGGAAAGUUUCGGCGGUUGGGGAUGGACUCGCGGCUUAUCAGCUCGUUGGUGGGGUAGUGGCUUACCAAGGCUUUGACGGGUAGCCGGCCUGAGAGGGUGACCGGCCACAUUGGGACUGAGAUACGGCCCAGACUCCUACGGGAGGCAGCAGUGGGGAAUAUUGCACAAUGGGCGGAAGCCUGAUGCAGCAACGCCGCGUUCGGGAUGACGGCCUUCGGGUUGUAAACCGCUUUCGCCUGUGACGAAGCGUGAGUGACGGUAAUGGGUAAAGAAGCACCGGCUAACUACGUG
This 468-nucleotide ribosomal RNA is filed under the name uncultured bacterium. RNAcentral's name for it is "partial 16S ribosomal RNA". It matches the Rfam family "Bacterial small subunit ribosomal RNA", at positions 28 to 507 of the family's 1533-position model. The record is from RNAcentral.